This 1218-nucleotide long non-coding RNA is filed under the name Heterocephalus glaber (naked mole-rat). Its description in RNAcentral is "lncRNA (ENSHGLG00000032571.1)". Lineage: Eukaryota; Metazoa; Chordata; Mammalia; Rodentia; Bathyergidae. The record is from RNAcentral.
UUGUCAACAGAAACAUGAAAUAAUUUAUUCCUGACAAGAUCAACAAAGCAGUUCUUUUUAUAUUAAGCUAAAGUGAAUAUAUACUUGAAAAUAAUAAUAUAUCUUCUUUGUAUGUGAAAUUCAGAUUUUAAAAAUCAUGAAAAGGACUCUCCAGUGUAGAAAUAUCACUCUGGAAGUUCCUUUGUCAUCAGGCACUAUUUCUACUAUAGCUAUGAGUUAUCAAGCUAAAUCUGAAUGUUUUAUCAUUCAUCUUUUUAUAACACCUUCUCCAGAAUAAUCCUGUUUCAUGUCUUUAACACUAACUUCAAGCAAUUUCCACUUUUAUUUCCAAUUGUCAGAUUUUGUUUUCGAAUUCUCACUGAAGUUUCGAAGUAUUGUACAUAUGAAGGAGGGUUACAGUGCGGAUACACUUUGCAGGGUGAAGACAUCACUACCCCAUCCUUUCCCCCAGCCCUAAAAAAAGUUUAUUGACAGAUCCAAAGCUAAAUUCAAUUGGCUUAUUUUGUUAUUUCAAAUAGCUGUGGAAGCUGUUUCUUCAGAAUUAAAAUGUUUAAAUUACAGAAGUACUUUUCUGAACUUUAAUCUGAUAGUGAAUUUGGAAGAUUAUAUAUUUACAAUAAUGAUCAUUUCACUUUUUGUAAUAUGUAAUACCUAGAGCUCAUAUUUACUUAGUGUGAGCUGUGUUUUGAGCCUUUUUCUGUUUUGCCUUGUUUUCUUGGCAUUGCACAUUGCUGUAUAUGUUAGGUUAUCCUGGUCCUCUCUCAGCAGACAACUCCCCUGUAGAUCACUCAUUCUCUCUGAGAAUCAGGCCAAGGAGGUUCUUGCUACAGGGUCAUGGUUGGGUAACAUUUCUGAGCUAUGUGAAAUUGAUGAUUUUAUGGGUCAAAAGGACCAAAUGUUAGCAAGUUCAUAGAAUAUAUUCAAGAAGCAACCAAACAAAAGAUCUUUUAGAAUAGUCAUCCUAAGCUCUCAUCCUAGCUCUGUUUAUCAGCCUAUCGGGCUUUAUGAAGGAGACUCUACAGGGAACCACAGUCUUCUCAAGACAAUUCUACUUCAUCCUACUGCUUAAAUUCUCUAGUUUUCCAAGAUAUUUUAUCAUAUUAAAGCAAAACCUUUGGGACAUAAGUUACAUAACCCUUUCAUUAACUCGCUGUGUAGUUUUCAACUGUGAGAUGUUAUUGCAGUAAUCAAAAGUACAUAGUAGAAUAUAAAUAUCAC